CCCCCAGGUGGUGGAUAACCUUCCGAAAGGAAGGCUAAUACAGCAUGGGACCACGGCUUCGCAAGGAGUUGAGGUGAAAGUCGGCCUCUUCAUGAAAGCCGACGCCAGGGGAUGAGCCUGCGGCCCAUCAGCUAGUUGGUAGGGUAAUGGCCUACCAAGGCAAAGACGGGUAGCUGGUCUGAGAGGAUGAUCAGCCACACUGGAACUGAGACACGGUCCAG
Molecule: ribosomal RNA, 221 nt
Filed under: uncultured bacterium
Lineage: Bacteria
Description: partial 16S ribosomal RNA
Rfam family: Bacterial small subunit ribosomal RNA
Source: RNAcentral